This 77-nucleotide transfer RNA is filed under the name Gammaproteobacteria bacterium. RNAcentral's name for it is "tRNA-Pro". It matches the Rfam family "tRNA". From Rfam's summary of the family: Transfer RNA (tRNA) molecules are approximately 80 nucleotides in length. Lineage: Bacteria; Pseudomonadati; Pseudomonadota; Gammaproteobacteria. RNAcentral also lists the same sequence under 2 other names. The record is from RNAcentral.
CGGGGUGUAGCUCAGCUUGGUAGAGCACUGCCUUCGGGAGGCAGGGGUCGGAGGUUCAAAUCCUCUCACCCCGACCA